CUCUCUCCCAGCGCUGCUUCUUUUUCUUCUUUUUUUAAGGAUGCUGGUGAACUUCUCAGCCUUGGAGUUUGUAAAAGCCUGGCCCACACAAAAGGUUCUGCAAACUAGACACAAUACUCUCUGCAGCCAUCAAUUCAGGAAGCAGAGAAAACUACAAAAUCCAUGAUCCCUGGCAGUACGGGAGAGGCGCAGAAAGGUUUCUCUUGUCUUUGCAAUCACUCCCCACCAUCAGUUACCUUUGAGAAGAGGGCAGGCCUGAGCAUCUCACCCUUGACCAAUUCUAUUGAGGCAUCAACUGCCAUGCCACAGUAAUGGUCUGAUUGCUGAUAAUUAAGAAUGAAAUGUAAACGUGCUGAGAUGAUUAAGAUAUACUCAGAUAACUACUGAGAGAGCAUCAAGGACAGAUGAAUGAGGAGCAUGUGCUGUAUAGCAGUGAUACAUCUAUGACCCCUGUCCUCCAGAUCAUGCCAUCAGGCAAGCAAGUUGCAUUUGAAAACUAUGGUUCUCUGCCUUCUGGGAUUAUUCAUAUAUUAUCAUGUCAAUGUCAUCUUCAUCUCCUUGCUGUUGGUUAUAUAAAACAAAUGUGCAUAUCAGUAAGUCAACUGCAGAUUAAGUGUGCAUUUGGAAAAGAUGGGACAUUGGCCUGUAUGUCACCUGAUAUAUUGCUUCUCUUAUUUGUAUUUUAUUAAACAUGUGUGAUAUAAAUAUAUGCAUCCCAGACACACAAUCCACUUUAUACUAGAAGAGGGAGGGGGGGACCCACUUCCUUUCCAUAGAUCCCUGGAGAGUUCAUGGACUGGAGGCUGUGUUUUUCCAUCAUAUGGAUCGCUUUGUAAUCAAGAACAUUAAUAUGAGGGAUCCUGUGCAUGCUUAACAACAUAAUUAAUCUACAAUUUGGUAUAAAUGUUUACUAGUUGGUAUAAUGGGAGAAAUUAAUAUUUCAGUUGAUUUUACUGGACCUCUGUAUUUACUUUUUGUAAUAGCAGUGAUAGUAUUACAUAUAGACAAAAGACACUCCUUUCAAGGUCAUAACAGAGUAUUGUACUCUAGGUGAAUACACCUAGCAAGCAGAGACAAAAAUAAAUUGAAGCAGACCCA
Molecule: long non-coding RNA, 1098 nt
Organism: Hemicordylus capensis (graceful crag lizard)
Lineage: Eukaryota; Metazoa; Chordata; Lepidosauria; Squamata; Cordylidae
Exons: 3
Source: RefSeq, a predicted model, not a curated record